This is a long non-coding RNA of Dreissena polymorpha, 3046 nucleotides long. RefSeq lists it as uncharacterized. NCBI's taxonomy places the organism in Eukaryota, Metazoa, Mollusca, Bivalvia, Myida, Dreissenidae. The transcript has 2 exons. The record is from RefSeq and is a predicted model, not a curated record.
ACAGCAAGAUUGUUAAAAGAAACAAUAUUGAUGCUCCCCACCUUCUGUUCAAUGAUAUUCUGAAUAUUAAUAUUUGUAAAUACAUUAUACUAUUUAUGUAGUAAAGGAACACUUACCUUUUAAUACAUGAAUUAACAUUCCAAGAGUUUUGAUGAUCACCAGUGAGGGAAUUUUAUACAAAUACAUGACUGCAUAUUUAUUAUGUCUAUACAGAAUGCAUUUUGUAAGUAAAACCCCCCUUACUGUAUUUUAAGCUUCCAUAAACGUUUAAUUAUUUUAUUGUUGCUUAACACUUGUAAGGAGCGAAGCAGUUUCUUUGUUUAAUGGCGUCCUGGUAGGCAAAUUCUCAAUUUUUUGUAAUAUGUAUCCAUUUCAACUCACCACAGAGUUUUAAUAGUUAUUUUCCUCUAUGUUAUAUAUCAUAUCUCAUUUUACUAAAAAUCGCUCAUGGUAAGUCCUCAUCAGAGCUUUGUUUACAUUCGCUACGGCGGCCUUCUUGGAUUCUUAGAACUUGUCGACCCGGGUCGAUUUUCCUUAGUUGGUCGUUCGAUCAUAGGUCGGGUUGACCGGGUGCUGAAUCGACCAAGGAAGAUCAGCGUUCUUUUGGAAUCAUUCCGGUUCGAGCCUCAACGAAGAACGGUCGGGGUUUUUUUUGGAUCAUAGAACUAAAGAGGUGCUAUUCGGUGGAUGAUCAGCAGAACAGUUAAACUUGAAUCGCCGAUCCAGUUUGCAGAUAAGCUAUGCCAAGUAACAUGCUGAUGACACCAGUGUCGGUGAUGAAAGCUCUGGAAGAAUCGGUGUUCAGGCAUCUCCUGACAAGCAUAAAAUCUCCACAUAUACCGAAAGACCAGAAAUAACCAUCAAAAACAUUAAUGCCUCAGACGAUAAAAUCAUUUUUUAUACUGGUUAUGCAACUUUCUUUUUUUUUGGUUUUGACAUUCAUUGAAUUUGGUGCCGACAAGUAAUGUACUGAAAAACUGAACACUGUUAAGAUUGAGACAGGGCGUUAAAGAAAGUUAAGACCUGUUGAUGAGUUUCAAUGACAUACUAAACAAAUUAUUUGAUGCAACAUAAUAACUCUUCAUUACUAGUACUGUAUUGAUCAAUAAAACUUUUUUUUAAUCAUCCCCACGUUUUUCGGAGAAAAGUGGGGAUAUUGUGGUGAUGUGCGUCUGUCCGUCCGUCCGUCCGUCCUUGCCACCUGCUCCUCCUACACUAUUAGCACUAGAACCUUGCAACUUACAUACAAGGUAGCUAUGAGCAUAUGUGCGACGGUGACCGUGACGGAAUUUUGAUCUGACCCCUGGGUCAAAAGUUAUGGGGGUUUGGGCGGGGCCGGGUCAGUGAUUUUCACUAAUUUUUAUGCCACCGGAACGGUGCAUUGGCCGUAACUUUUGCAAUAUUGAUGAUAGCAACUUGAUAUUUGGCAUGCAUGUAUAUCUCAUGGAGCUGCAUAUUUUGAGUGGUUAAUGGUUAAGGUUAAGGUCAAGGUCAUCCUUCAAGGUCAAAGGUAAAAAAAAACAAAUCCAAGGGAAGUAAUAAGCUUUAAAGGAAGGUAAGCCAAAUGAUAUAAAAAUAAAUAAAUAAAUUAAAGUGGCGCAUAGAGUUACACAGUAGUGGCGCAGAGAUGUAUUUAGUAUUCAAUUGUUUGUGUUAACUCAUCUGUGAAAUGGUUUAGCUCAUCCAUCUAAUGUUUAUACAAGGGAUUAUAAAAUAUUGGAGCAAAGGGACACCUGUAUAUGAGAGAAGAGAUAGAAUGCAGUCAAGCAUAAAAAGCAUGAGAAACUCAUGGAAUAGAGCCUCAAGAAUCUAUAAAAGGGCUGAAACUUUCAAUUUGUGCAAUUACAAUUUUAGACUCAUUACUGAAAUCCUGUAAAAUUUUUAAGUGGGAAAAAUGUGAGAAACAAUUUAAAGCAAGGUGGACUUUGAACAGGCACAUCAAAGACAGUCAUGAAAUUCAACAUAUUCAUUGUUGUACAAGAUUGCGAUAGAAAAUUUCUGAGACGCUACUAUUUAGUCAACCAUUUAACCUCAAAACAUAACAUUUCCAAAACAGGAGCAAGAAGAUUGGCUAUAAGAGAGCAUGUUCAGCCAUCUCAUAAGUCAUUCCAAUUAGGAUGACAUGUACAUAAUUGACUACAGUGAAGUUGAUUCAUUAUUAGAUUUGUUAGGAGAGCAGGAUGAGGAGGAGAAAUUAGGGUAUAGAUUUUCACUCAUUUUUUACAUGAACUUCUUCAUUUCUACAGUGAAUUACUUCAAAUUUAUACUGAACAUCUCUUUUGACAAUACGGUCAAUCUCAACUAUGCAUGGCCCCAUUACCAACCCUGGGGCGCCCCUGUGUCAAACAUGCGGUGUGGGGAUACACGUCGGCCUCUGCCGCGCCAUUUCUAGUUUUGAAUGAGUUGUAUCUGUUCAUUGUGUUUUUGUUACUUGAGUGCUAUGUUACAGUCACAUGUUACAGUAAAAUAUACUUUCAAAUCACAUAUAUCACAGACCAUAUAAGUAUAGAUUGAUAUAUGUAUCACAACAGUACAUCUUCAUGUCCCAUUUUAUCAAAACUCAACAAUAGCAAUGUUUAUAAAAAAUGAACCAACAAAGACUUAGAAUAAUAUGAUAAUAUUUUUCAUUUUUAUUGUGCCCAGAUGAAUUUAUAAGUUUAUUUCUUUGAUGUCAAAAUGAAACGGUUUUCAGGUAACUGUAAAAAACUGACCAUUUUUUGGUUCAUUAUAAAUGUACAUACCGGUAUUUUCCAAAUAUAUAUGUUAUUAUUAUUAUUAUUAUUGUUUUAUUUCUAUAAGGUUCUUGCCAAUUACCUUGUUGAUAAAAAAAAAGAAUUUUCUGUCAAUAAAAUGCAAUUACUUUACCCUUUAGCAGCCGAGAAAUGGGGGCGCUAUUACAUGUAUUUUGAUCACUCUUUCAAUUGAUUAUACGAUAGGUGCGCGUUUAUAAGGGCGUGAGCGUUUAUUAGGAUAAAGACGGUAUGUCUUAUUACAUAAUUUUGCAGACAAUUCUAAACAUUCUGGUAUAAAGAGAUAUUGCUCAUUU